This is an RNA transcript of Nycticebus coucang (slow loris), 692 nucleotides long. It is a transcript of the gene named ras-related protein Rab-28-like, with no coding region annotated. The record is from RefSeq and is a predicted model, not a curated record. The transcript has a single exon. Lineage: Eukaryota; Metazoa; Chordata; Mammalia; Primates; Lorisidae.
CCCGGGACACCAUGUCGGACUCUGAGGAGGAGAGCCAGGACCGGCAACUGAAAAUCGUCGUGCUGGGGUUCGGCACCUCCGGGAAGACCUCCUUAGCUACGAGUUUUGCUCAAGAAACUUUUGGGAAACAGUACAAACAAACUAUAGGACUGGAUUUCUUUUUGAGAAGGAUAACAAUGCCAGGAAACCUGAAUGUUACUCUUCAAGUUUGGGAUAUAGGAGGACAGACAAUUGGAGGCAAAAUGUUGGAUAAAUAUAUCUAUGGAGCACAGGGAGUCCUUUUGGUAUAUGAUAUUACAAAUCAUCAAAGCUUUGAGAAUCUAGAAGAUUGGUAUACUGUGGUGAAGAAAGUGAGUGAGGAGUCGGAAACUCAGCCACUGAUUGCCUUAGUUGGAAAUAAAAUUGAUUUGGAGCACAUACGAACAGUAAAACCUGAAAAACACGGUUUUGCCAGGAAAAUGGUUUCAGUAGUCACUUUGUCUCCGCCAAGACAGGAGACUGUCUUCCUGUGUUUCCAGAAAGUCGCUGCUGAAAUCCUUGGAAUCAAAUUAAACAAAGCAGAAAUAGAACAGUCACAGAGGGUGGUGAAGGCAGAUAUUGUAAACUACAACCAGGAACCUCUGUCGGGAACUGUCAACCCUCCUAGAAGCUCUAUGUGUGCUGUUGAGUGAGUGUGCUCUCCUCUGGGUCGG